GUAGGUGGCAAGCGUUGUCCGGAAUUAUUGGGCGUAUAGCGCGCGCAGGCGGUUCUUUAAGUCUGAUGUGAAAGCCCACGGCUCAACCGUGGAGGGUCAUUGGAAACUGGAGAACUUGAGUACAGAAGAGGAAAGCGGAAUUCCACGUGUAGCGGUGAAAUGCGUAGAGAUGUGGAGGAACACCAGUGGCGAAGGCGGCUUUCUGGUCUGUAACUGACGCUGAGGCGCGAAAGCGUGGGGAGCAAACAGGAUUAGAUACCCUGGUAGUCCACGCCGUAAACGAUGAGUGCUAAGUGUUAGGGGGUUUCCGCCCCCCUUAGUGCUGCAGCUAACGCAUUAAGCACUCCGCCUGGGAGUACGGCCGCAAGGCUG
This 372-nucleotide ribosomal RNA is filed under the name uncultured organism. Its description in RNAcentral is "partial 16S ribosomal RNA". It matches the Rfam family "Bacterial small subunit ribosomal RNA", at positions 527 to 896 of the family's 1533-position model. The record is from RNAcentral.